UUUUGUUGGAUGAGAAUUCCAGUAAUUAGGGGAAUUCUAGCCACGUAUGAAGUUCUGAUGUGAUUGUGGUGAUAAUAAACCAAAGAGAUAAUUUGUUGCACACAUACCAACCUAGCAUGUUUUGGUAGGAAAUAAAUAGAUAGUUUAAUGUUUUUUUUCUUUUAAUAUGAUUUGUGUGAUGGAUGGUUGCAAGUGUUCGGUUUAUGUGAUUGAAUUUGCUAUUUUUUUCCUUAUUUUUUCGUUCCAAAGUUAUCUGGGGUUUUUUUUAGUCUAAUACCAUCCCUUGCACUUGCAUUAAGAACUUCCGUGGGCAUUUUCAAGUUUUGUAUCUUUUACAGCAUACAUGGCUGACUCCAAUGGUGAUGGUUAUAGCAAAACUAAAGAUGUUAAUGCAACUGACAAUCAUGGUUUUUUUUUUCCCUCUGCCACAACUUGACAGUCAUUGAAAUCAACUGAUUCGGGAAGGGCUCAAAAGAAGGUUGAACAAGAGCAGAUACCAAGUAGCCAAUUCAAGACAAGGCAUAGCCAAUAGUUGAAGUUCUGGGUAAAUUCUUUUGCAUAGGUCCUAGUUUAGGAGGGGAAAGUGUUUAGUUAGGAGUGUUAAAGUCAAUUUUUGUUGGAGUGGGCCACUUUUCUCAUUUCCUCUUUUAUUGAAUUGAGUUGUUACCAAUUUUGUGAAUAGAAUUCUUAUCAAACAAUAGUGUGAAUUAUUUUUUGAAUGACUAUCAGGUGCAAGAUUAAAAAAAUAAUAAUAAUAAUUUAUCAAUAUAUUUUUUAUUUA
Magnolia sinica is the source of this 781-nucleotide long non-coding RNA. RefSeq lists it as uncharacterized. The transcript has 2 exons. The record is from RefSeq and is a predicted model, not a curated record. NCBI's taxonomy places the organism in Eukaryota, Viridiplantae, Streptophyta, Magnoliopsida, Magnoliales, Magnoliaceae.